Molecule: ribosomal RNA, 442 nt
Filed under: uncultured bacterium
Lineage: Bacteria
Description: partial 16S ribosomal RNA
Rfam family: Bacterial small subunit ribosomal RNA
Source: RNAcentral
CCUACGGGUGGCAGCAGUGGGGAAUAUUGGGCAAUGGGCGCAAGCCUGACCCAGCAACGCCGCGUGAAGGAAGCAGGCUUUCGGGUUGUAAACUUCUUUUAGGGGGGAAGAGGAGAAGACGGUAUCCCUUGAAUACGCCACGGGUAACUACGUGCCAGCAGCCGCGGUAAUACGUAGGUGGCAAGCGUUGUCCGGAUUGACUGGGUGUAAAGGGCGUGGAGCCGGGAGGACAAGUCAGAUGUGAAAUCCCGGGGCUCAACCGCGGGACUGCAUUUGAAACUGUUUUGCUUGAGUACCGGAGAGGUAAGUGGGAUUCCUUGUGGAGCGGUGAAAUGCGUAGAAAUUAGGAGGAAAACCAGUGGGGAAGGCGGAUUACUGGACUGCAACUGACGGGGAGGCGCGAAAGCGUGGGGAGCAAACAGGAUUAGAUACCCCAGUAGUC